RNAcentral lists this small nucleolar RNA (134 nucleotides) under Xyrichtys novacula (pearly razorfish). It matches the Rfam family "Small nucleolar RNA SNORA70". Rfam says of the family: snoRNA U70 seems to be exclusive to mammals and is a member of the H/ACA class of snoRNA which contain H (ANANNA) and ACA box motifs. H/ACA box snoRNAs are involved in the conversion of uridines to pseudouridines (5-ribosyluracil) a constituent of structural RNAs (transfer, ribosomal, small nuclear, and small nucleolar). Lineage: Eukaryota; Metazoa; Chordata; Actinopteri; Labriformes; Labridae. The record is from RNAcentral.
CUGCAGCUUAUUAAGCCGACCAGUUGUGCUUUCUGUGCGUCUCUGGUGUGCAAAGGCUGCAGACAGUGACUCUGUGGUUGUGUAUGUCCUCAGCUGGGAGGUGCUGAGUGCUUUAAGGGACCGCUGAGACAGAG